Molecule: ribosomal RNA, 1680 nt
Filed under: Escherichia coli
Lineage: Bacteria; Pseudomonadati; Pseudomonadota; Gammaproteobacteria; Enterobacterales; Enterobacteriaceae
Description: partial 23S ribosomal RNA
Rfam family: Bacterial large subunit ribosomal RNA
Source: RNAcentral
CAUAGGUUAAUGAGGCGAACCGGGGGAACUGAAACAUCUAAGUACCCCGAGGAAAAGAAAUCAACCGAGAUUCCCCCAGUAGCGGCGAGCGAACGGGGAGCAGCCCAGAGCCUGAAUCAGUAUGUGUGUUAGUGGAAGCGUCUGGAAAGGCGCGCGAUACAGGGUGACAGCCCCGUACACAAAAAUGCACAUGCUGUGAGCUCGAUGAGUAGGGCGGGACACGUGGUAUCCUGUCUGAAUAUGGGGGGACCAUCCUCCAAGGCUAAAUACUCCUGACUGACCGAUAGUGAACCAGUACCGUGAGGGAAAGGCGAAAAGAACCCCGGCGAGGGGAGUGAAAAAGAACCUGAAACCGUGUACGUACAAGCAGUGGGAGCACGCUUAGGCGUGUGACUGCGUACCUUUUGUAUAAUGGGUCAGCGACUUAUAUUCUGUAGCAAGGUUAACCGAAUAGGGGAGCCGAAGGGAAACCGAGUCUUAACUGGGCGUUAAGUUGCAGGGUAUAGACCCGAAACCCGGUGAUCUAGCCAUGGGCAGGUUGAAGGUUGGGUAACACUAACUGGAGGACCGAACCGACUAAUGUUGAAAAAUUAGCGGAUGACUUGUGGCUGGGGGUGAAAGGCCAAUCAAACCGGGAGAUAGCUGGUUCUCCCCGAAAGCUAUUUAGGUAGCGCCUCGUGAAUUCAUCUCCGGGGGUAGAGCACUGUUUCGGCAAGGGGGUCAUCCCGACUUACCAACCCGAUGCAAACUGCGAAUACCGGAGAAUGUUAUCACGGGAGACACACGGCGGGUGCUAACGUCCGUCGUGAAGAGGGAAACAACCCAGACCGCCAGCUAAGGUCCCAAAGUCAUGGUUAAGUGGGAAACGAUGUGGGAAGGCCCAGACAGCCAGGAUGUUGGCUUAGAAGCAGCCAUCAUUUAAAGAAAGCGUAAUAGCUCACUGGUCGAGUCGGCCUGCGCGGAAGAUGUAACGGGGCUAAACCAUGCACCGAAGCUGCGGCAGCGACGCUGAUGCGUUGUUGGGUAGGGGAGCGUUCUGUAAGCCUGCGAAGGUGUGCUGUGAGGCAUGCUGGAGGUAUCAGAAGUGCGAAUGCUGACAUAAGUAACGAUAAAGCGGGUGAAAAGCCCGCUCGCCGGAAGACCAAGGGUUCCUGUCCAACGUUAAUCGGGGCAGGGUGAGUCGACCCCUAAGGCGAGGCCGAAAGGCGUAGUCGAUGGGAAACAGGUUAAUAUUCCUGUACUUGGUGUUACUGCGAAGGGGGGACGGAGAAGGCUAUGUUGGCCGGGCGACGGUUGUCCCGGUUUAAGCGUGUAGGCUGGUUUUCCAGGCAAAUCCGGAAAAUCAAGGCUGAGGCGUGAUGACGAGGCACUACGGUGCUGAAGCAACAAAUGCCCUGCUUCCAGGAAAAGCCUCUAAGCAUCAGGUAACAUCAAAUCGUACCCCAAACCGACACAGGUGGUCAGGUAGAGAAUACCAAGGCGCUUGAGAGAACUCGGGUGAAGGAACUAGGCAAAAUGGUGCCGUAACUUCGGGAGAAGGCACGCUGAUAUGUAGGUGAAGUCCCUCGCGGAUGGAGCUGAAAUCAGUCGAAGAUACCAGCUGGCUGCAACUGUUUAUUAAAAACACAGCACUGUGCAAACACGAAAGUGGACGUAUACGGUGUGACGCCUGCCCGGUGC